UGUUUGUUUGACAGAGUUAGUUGAGAAUAAAUACAGACAACUUUUAACAAUGGAUCUCUUGGCUCUUGCAACGAUGAAGAACGCAGUAAAGUGCGAUAUGUAGUGCGAUUUGCAUGAAUCUGUGAGUCAUCUAAUCUUUGAACGCAACUUGCGCCUUUUACGAGGCAUGUUUGUUUGAGUGCCGUACUCCUCUGCAGCAAUGCGAUUUGAUCAGUGUCUUUGCUGACCUGGUUUAAACAGAGCUAGAGGAUGGUCAGUUUGGGCUAGUCCAAGUGCUAAGCAUUCUUGGGCCUAGAACAGAUUGCUCAUUAAUCUAACUUUAUUAUUUUGGCCUCAAAUCAAGCAAGACUACCCGCUGAACUUAAGCAUAUCAAUAAGCGGAGGA
Molecule: ribosomal RNA, 385 nt
Filed under: uncultured fungus
Lineage: Eukaryota; Fungi
Description: eukaryotic LSU rRNA
Rfam family: 5.8S ribosomal RNA (bases 39-184)
Source: RNAcentral